This 253-nucleotide ribosomal RNA is filed under the name uncultured bacterium. RNAcentral describes it as "partial 16S ribosomal RNA". It matches the Rfam family "Bacterial small subunit ribosomal RNA", at positions 524 to 776 of the family's 1533-position model. The record is from RNAcentral.
UACGUAGAGUGCAAGCGUUGUCCGGAUUUAUUGGGCGUAAAGAGCGUGUAGGCGGCUAGGUAGGUCCGUUGUGAAAACUCGAGGCUCAACCUCGAGCUGUCGAUGGAAACCAUCUAGCUAGAGUCCGGAAGAGGAGAGUGGAAUUCCUGGUGUAGCGGUGAAAUGCGCAGAUAUCAGGAAGAACACCCGUGGCGAAGGCGGCUCUCUGGUACGUGACUGACGCUGAGACGCGAAAGCGUGGGGAGCAAACAGG